RNAcentral lists this unclassified non-coding RNA (142 nucleotides) under soil metagenome. RNAcentral's name for it is "partial internal transcribed spacer 1". The record is from RNAcentral.
CCGAGUUAUCAACUCCCAAACCCCUGUGAACUAUACCUAUAUGUUGCCUCGGCGGAUCAUCCGCGCCCCGUACGGGGACCCCCCAGAUCCACACUCUGAAUUUUUUAAUAGUAUCUUCUGAGGGUAACAAACAAUGUAAUCA